GACGAACGCUGGCGGCGUGCUUAACACAUGCAAGUCGAACGGAAAGGCCCUGCUUUUGUGGGGUGGUCGAGUGGCGAACGGGUGAGUAACACGUGAGUACCCUGUCCUUGACUUUGGGAUAACUUCAUGCAACUGGGGGUCAUAGCGGCUAGGAGCUACUGCUGCUUGGUGGGGGUUGGUAAGUUUCGGCUGUUGGGGGUGGAAUCGCGGCUUAUCAGCUUGUUGGUGGGGUAGUGGCUUACCAAGGUUUUGACGGGUAGCCUGCCUGGGAGGGGGACCGGCUACAUUGCGACUGAAAUACGACCCAGACCCCAACGGGAGGCAACAGUGGGGAAGAUAGCACAAUGGGCGGAAGGCAGAUGCAGCCACGCCGCGUGCGGGAAGACAGCCUGCGGGUUGUAAACCACUGUCGCCUGUGACGAAGCGUUAGUGACAGUAACGGGUAAAGAAGCACCGGCUAACUACGUG
This 468-nucleotide ribosomal RNA is filed under the name uncultured bacterium. RNAcentral describes it as "partial 16S ribosomal RNA". It matches the Rfam family "Bacterial small subunit ribosomal RNA", at positions 28 to 507 of the family's 1533-position model. The record is from RNAcentral.